GGAGAGAUGGCUGAGUGGUCGAUAGCGGCUGAUUGCUAAUCCGUUUAUGGCUUUAAAUGGCCAUACGAGGGUUCGAAUCCCUCUCUCUCCU
This 91-nucleotide transfer RNA is filed under the name Chloromonas radiata. RNAcentral's name for it is "tRNA-Ser". It matches the Rfam family "tRNA". Rfam says of the family: Transfer RNA (tRNA) molecules are approximately 80 nucleotides in length. The record is from RNAcentral. Lineage: Eukaryota; Viridiplantae; Chlorophyta; Chlorophyceae; Chlamydomonadales; Chlamydomonadaceae.